Molecule: long non-coding RNA, 518 nt
Filed under: Podarcis lilfordi (Lilford's wall lizard)
Lineage: Eukaryota; Metazoa; Chordata; Lepidosauria; Squamata; Lacertidae
Source: RNAcentral
UCUUAAACUGGUGUACAGGGGGGCGGAGACUCAGAUGGAGCUUCGCCGAUCUAACCCCUAGACGUAGAGCUGGGGCGCUCCGGCUUGAAAAUGGAAAUUGUACUUCAAUAAAGACUUUUGCACAUUACUGCCGGCUAGCGUUGGUCCUCUGUGAGCUGGGACCUGGAGCCAGCUCUGACAGGUGUGAAAAGCCAGUCGUCGAAAUACUCGGCUGGCAUGGGCCUGUGUGGGAAAAGUGCAUGGAACUCGUCCUUGAGCCAAGAUUCCUCCAGAGCAUAAUCUGGCACCCAACUGUUGGCGCUAGCCGGGGUACCUUCCUUGGCGAGGAGGUAUUCCACUCCCUCCUCCCCCCAUCUCGAGUCUAAAAUCUCUGUGACUUCGUUGACGGGUUCCCGCCUUGGCGACCCCCCCCUUGUGGGCGUUUCCCUGAACGGGUCUGGUGCCGUUCCUGGCUCCUGAAAUCUAUGAGGUGCUUUGUAGGGCGUGAGCACUGAUCUAUGGAAAACUGGGUGCAUUCU